AAGAAACUGGGCGCAUCUGAGUUACGUAAAUGUUAUACAUUCUUCUAGAGCUAAGUGCUUAUUAAUUUUUUCCCUAUUCAAAAGCUUCUACAUGCUGUUUUUUUUUUUAAGUGAUUAUCAUUGUUUCUAAUGUAAGUGAUUGAAAUAUAAUGUGGGAAAGCAUCGAUCAUAACUUGCUGUAGUUCACAUUUUAAGACGCUUAUUUCUGCUCAUUUUCAUAUUGCACCAGUGUCUGCCUUCCUCUUCCCAGCCCGCUGAGCAUGUACUCCAUCCUCCACGGCCUGCUCUGCCUGUAGAUGCAGGUAUCCUGGCUCAGCGCUCUCACGUGUUGACCUGCCUCCCCAGGGCCUGAUGCUCUCGCCACUUCAGAAAUGUUUGCUGAGUGAAUGAACUGCUUUGUAGUUGUCUGCUUCAACCGGCUGUUGCAUAAGUCUAUGUUUGCGGGUGCUUUUCCUCUGCCUAGCAUGCCUUUCCCUUGCUCGCCUGGCUUGUUCCUCAGGACUCAUCUCAAGUAUCGUUCCUAAUAAGUCUCUCCUGAUGCCUCCCCUCGUUAUCCCUUAGGGUCCCUUUCUUUGUCCCCAAAGGUUGUAUGUAGCUUUAUCCUGCGCUUGUCGCCUUGUAGAAAAAUUGCCUGUCUGGAUCUGCCUGCCUUGCCGACUGUGAGCCCCCCCAGGGCUAGUGCCCUGUCUGAUCAUCUCUCUUUCACCCGCACCAGCCAGCAGAACUGUUUUAGCCCUUAGGCGAUGUGGGUAAAAUGACUAGUGCCAACAGGCUUUUAAAAUGCUUAUCAGAAUGUUUGAGACACAAAAGCAAUGUUGUUGGCUCGAAAGUAUUUUUUUAAUCUGCAAAAUCAAAGCUAAAAAUGUUUAAUGAAGUAUCUCCAAAAUAUUAUAGUGUCAAUAUCAUUAAUUAUUAAAGUUAGUCUUCACAUGCAGUUUGUUCCACUCUAAAACAAUUUGUAGGUUAGACUUUCUCUGCUUACAAAAAUCCUCCCAGCGUGUGUGAUGAUUUCAGAGAAAUGCCAGUCAGUUGUCAAUUCAUUUAGCUACACGCAGCACACAGUAUUUUCCAAAGCAAAAUUAGAAGUCUUUUCAGAAAUGUUUACAGUUAUAUGUAAGGCAGAUGUGCCUAGGGGCUUUGGAGUUCCUAAAGAGCCCCACGUGCGAAGAGAGGGACGUUCAGGAAUGCUUCGAUUGUGGCUUAUGCCCUUCAGUGUGCCACAGUCCCACCCCACAACCUGGUGUCUUACACCUACCCAGCCUCGCUUGUUGACUUUGCCUGCUGCACCUUGAAAAGCCCUGAGUCUCUGACUGCUGAUCCUGGACUUUUAGAGCUGGAAGAGAGAUUUGAGAUGACUGAGCCAAUCCUGUCCCUCUUUAGGGCCCAGGCUGAUGGAGCAACCUUGAUCUGGAGAAUUGCCAGUGGGAGUAGAGCGACAAAAGAUUGGUGAACCAUAAACUAGCUCCUGAAACUUCUGGUCAGAAGUGACAAACAUAACUGCUGCUCACUUUUUUUUGGCCCAAAUGAGACACAAGGCCAAGCUUAUCCUCAGUGUGACAGGGAAGACUAAUGCUCCUCCCAUCUGAGGGGCAUUGCAGAUCUGUGGACCGUUAUGCAGUGACCACAGCAUAUGAUGGUUUGGUUGGGCUAUCGGAUGGCAUCCACAUUUGGUGACAAAACAAGGCCUUUAGGAGAAUCUUUUCAGAGUUUUAUAAGAGGGGUGACUUUGAAAAUCUCAGAGAUCACAGAUCAUCUUGUGACAAAGCACUUAAAAGAAUUGUCAAGCUUAAAAAAUGAGUUACUGUAUUUUCUUUUACAGAAAGUGCUCCACAUUUCCUCAUCUCUUCUUUGAUGACUAGAAGCUGUCUUCAGGAUGGUUUAGGAGAGAAUUUCACAAAAAUAAACAGACAAUCUGUUCCUUCAAGAUAAAGGUGAUGUUUUAACAAUGCAUGAGAAAGUCAUUGGUUUUCAAAAGAGUCUUGUCUGAUGGCGAGAGCAUUUUUGAAAAUAGAUGGUCAGAAAUCUGUCCAACGUUACGUGAUUUUGUUGCUAAAAAUGACGUGUAUCAGUUAUAAAAACCUCAUAUCUGCACACUUAACUUUGAAACUGAAAUUUCCAACUCCCUUCAGAAAUCUUCCAAAUGGAGAGUUUGCGUUUGCAAUGUAUUGAGGAAUUCUAGGGAGGACGGUGGUGCAGACCUGGCUCAUCUAAGGCAGGCGAGCUAACGCAAGGGAGAGAGCAGGCACGGUGUGGAGACGGCAAGCCUGUGCUCCUCGGCCACGCUUUCGGGGCCCGGGAAGAAUCCAUCCACAUCUUCAUUGUUUUCCCUGAUACCACGAGUUGGCCUUCUCAGGAUGCCCAGACUGAUCUCUUUGUCAGCUGCCAACUGAUUUGUUUACCCCAAGAAUGUGCCUGCAGGAUUCACUAGUCCCAGGCUGCCAGCUGGGUUCUCCUCUCUUCCCUCUCAUGCCUCCUGUUUGUAAUUUUGUUUCAUGACAACAGUCCAUUGACCUUUCUGCCUCAUGUCUGAGUAAAUAAAUUGCGUGUACAACAA
Equus quagga is the source of this 2554-nucleotide long non-coding RNA. RefSeq lists it as uncharacterized. NCBI's taxonomy places the organism in Eukaryota, Metazoa, Chordata, Mammalia, Perissodactyla, Equidae. The record is from RefSeq and is a predicted model, not a curated record. The transcript has 2 exons.